This 266-nucleotide unclassified non-coding RNA is filed under the name Bombus terrestris (buff-tailed bumblebee). RNAcentral's name for it is "misc RNA ENSBTSG00005026227.1". Lineage: Eukaryota; Metazoa; Arthropoda; Insecta; Hymenoptera; Apidae. The record is from RNAcentral.
CUACGAAAGUAUCUACGAUUUCAAGAAUAAGAAGUCACGUUCUGCUGACCUGUAUAGACGCGUUUUCGAAACUAACGUGUGGAGUUUAUUGAACGUUCUGGAUUUUGAUAAACAAACAGUAAUCGUGCCAGACAUUUCUUACAUGAUGCGUCGCGCUGCAAUACCUGAUUCAGAUCCUGUUUGCACCCCGGUACCCGUGGAGAACAGCAUGUUGGUCCCUACAGUUUCAACGGAUCUACGAGCAGCUCCAGAGGAGAAAAAGAAAG